CCUACGGGAGGCAGCAGUGAGGAAUAUUGGUCAAUGGUCGGGAGACUGAACCAGCCAAGCCGCGUGAGGGAUGAAGGUACAGAGUAUCGUAAACCUCUUUUGUCAGGGAACAAAGGCGGGGACGUGUCCCCGGAUGAGUGUACCUGAAGAAAAAGCAUCGGCUAACUCCGUGCCAGCAGCCGCGGUAAUACGGAGGAUGCGAGCGUUAUCCGGAUUUAUUGGGUUUAAAGGGUGCGCAGGCGGUCUGUUAAGUCAGCGGUCAAAGCCCGGGGCACAACCCCGGCCCGCCGUUGAAACUGGCAGUCGCGAGUUGGAGAGAAGUAUGCGGAAUGCGGGGUGUAGCGGUGAAAUGCAUAGAUAUCGCGCAGAACUCCGAUUGCGAAGGCAGCAUGCCGGCUCCACACUGACGCUGAGGCACGAAAACGUGGGUAUCGAACAGGAUUAGAUACCCUAGUAGU
This 458-nucleotide ribosomal RNA is filed under the name uncultured bacterium. RNAcentral describes it as "partial 16S ribosomal RNA". It matches the Rfam family "Bacterial small subunit ribosomal RNA", at positions 338 to 794 of the family's 1533-position model. The record is from RNAcentral.